RNAcentral lists this ribosomal RNA (497 nucleotides) under uncultured bacterium. RNAcentral describes it as "partial 16S ribosomal RNA". It matches the Rfam family "Bacterial small subunit ribosomal RNA", at positions 38 to 507 of the family's 1533-position model. The record is from RNAcentral.
GGUGGGGGGGGGGGGGGUGGGGGGGGGAGGGGGGGCGGGGGGGGGGAGGAGGAGGUUGGGGCGCUGAUGUGAGCGGCGGGCGGGUGGGUAACACGUGGAUAACCUACAUGUAAGACUGGGAUAGCGUCGGGGAACCGGAGGUAAUACCGGAUAAUAUUUUGAACCGCAUGGUGCAACGGUGGCAGACUGUCUUGCUGUCACUUAUAGAUGGAUCCGCGCUGCAUUAGCUAGUUGGUGAGGUAACGGCUUACCAAGGCAACGAUGCAUAGCCGACCUGAGAGGGUGAUCGGCCACACUGGAGCUGAGACACGGUCCAGACUCCUACGGGAGGCAGCAGUAGGGAAUCUUCCGCAAUGGGCGAAAGCCUGACGGAGCAACGCCGCGUGAGUGAUGAAGGUCUCCGGAUCGUAAAACUCUGUUAUUAGGGAAGAACAUAUGUGUAAGUAACUGUGCACAUCUUGACGGUACCUAAUCAGAAAGCCACGGCUAACUACGUG